AUUUAAAUAAUUUAAUUAAAAUAUUGAUUUGUGGGGUCAAAAAUAUGAUAUAUAUAUUCAUUUUAAAUU
This 69-nucleotide transfer RNA is filed under the name Dahlica ochrostigma. Its description in RNAcentral is "tRNA-His". Lineage: Eukaryota; Metazoa; Arthropoda; Insecta; Lepidoptera; Psychidae. The record is from RNAcentral.